This 81-nucleotide transfer RNA is filed under the name Nanobdellota archaeon. Its description in RNAcentral is "tRNA-Ser". It matches the Rfam family "tRNA". From Rfam's summary of the family: Transfer RNA (tRNA) molecules are approximately 80 nucleotides in length. Their secondary structure includes four short double-helical elements and three loops (D, anti-codon, and T loops). Further hydrogen bonds mediate the characteristic L-shaped molecular structure. tRNAs have two regions of fundamental functional importance: the anti-codon, which is responsible for specific mRNA codon recognition, and the 3' end, to which the tRNAs corresponding amino acid is attached (by aminoacyl-tRNA synthetases). tRNAs cope with the degeneracy of the genetic code in two manners: having more than one tRNA (with a specific anti-codon) for a particular amino acid; and 'wobble' base-pairing, i.e. permitting non-standard base-pairing at the 3rd anti-codon position. The record is from RNAcentral. Lineage: Archaea; Nanobdellati; Nanobdellota.
GCCGUUGUCGCAUAAUCUGGUAUUGCGCGGAGCUCGAACCUCCGUCCCUUGGGAUUCCCGGUUCAAAUCCGGGCAACGGCG